This 253-nucleotide ribosomal RNA is filed under the name uncultured bacterium. RNAcentral describes it as "partial 16S ribosomal RNA". It matches the Rfam family "Bacterial small subunit ribosomal RNA", at positions 524 to 776 of the family's 1533-position model. The record is from RNAcentral.
UACAGGGGGGGCAAGCGUUGUUCGGAAUUACUGGGCGUAAAGGGUUCGUAGGUGGCCACUUAAGUCAGACGUGAAAUCCCUCAGCUUAACUGGGGAACUGCGUCUGAUACUGCGUGGCUUGAGUGCAGGAGAGGAAUGCGGAAUUCCAGGUGUAGCGGUGAAAUGCGUAGAUAUCUGGAGGAACACCGGUGGCGAAGGCGGCAUUCUGGACUGUAACUGACACUGAGGAACGAAAGCCAGGGGAGCAAACGGG